Molecule: long non-coding RNA, 1146 nt
Filed under: Salvia miltiorrhiza (redroot sage)
Lineage: Eukaryota; Viridiplantae; Streptophyta; Magnoliopsida; Lamiales; Lamiaceae
Description: long non-coding RNA (SMIL_LNC011404)
Source: RNAcentral
CUGGAAGAAGGGUGGUGUAUUUUAGCCCAGAAUUGCUCAAUAAAAUCGAUGAAGUAGCAGCCUCUUGAGAAAUCUCAGGAUCGUUAACAAGAUUUCCCAACCGUCACGUUUCUGUCAUCCGCGCCAGAUCUUACACCCUCCUGUAUUUUGCUUCUCAUAUGUAUUUUGCAGCUUAUGUUCAAACUAUAAAAUAAACAUAACACAAUUCAAACUAUUAAAUUUUGCUUCGUUUCUCAUGGUAUUAAAUUAAGGGUUAAAUAUCAUAUUGCCCCUUAUCGAUGACGUCCCUAUGGCUUUUAGCCCCCUAAAGUCAGGGGGGAGAGCUGCCUCCAUCAAAAGGCUGGGGGGAAAUUGGUGCCAAAAAGCCACGUUAAGGUAGUGGCUGGCAGCUCAGCUCUCCCCCCUGACUUUAGGGGGUUAAACGCGAGGGGGACCCCUAUCGAUAGGGGGAAAUUGGUGCCAAAAAAUCACGUUGAGGUAGUGGGCAGCUCUUCCCCCUGACUUUAGAAAUUGGUGCCAAAAAACCACGUUGAGGUAGUGGGCAGCUCUUCCCCCUGACUUUAGGGGGCUAAAAGUCAUAGGGACGCCAUCGAUAAGGGGCAAUUUGAUACUUAACCCUUAAAUUAAUUAAGUCGUGAUUAUCCUUUCUCAAACCACCCUUCUGCCCCCAACCACUUCUAAUUUCGAAACUAAUUAAUGAAUAAUGAGUAAAGCAAGAUAAAAGGGUGGGGUGCUCACAGCCCUACUUCUAUGAUUAAUGUCGUUGCUACCACAACCAGCACAGCAACAACAAAUGAGACUAAAAGUUUCAAACCCAAAAUGAAUGAAACGAACGAAAGUUCUUACCGAUUCUAAAGUUUCAUUUGGAUUUGAAGCUUGCUUCGUUGUUUGAACAAAUGCGACGUUCGAAAGACCAAGAAAGUGCGAAUAGAAAUGUCUGCAAAAAGAAUAAUCGCCGAACUGGGAUUAACCACAAGAAAAAUUUUAAUUCUCGAAUAUGAUAUGCAUCGUCGCCCAACAAAACAAUGAACGCUCAAUGAAACAAAAGUCGAAAGGAACUUGAAACAAAAUUGAAUUCCCUAUAGCAAACAAUAUUUGGCAGGACGAAAAUCCCCAAAACAAUUCGAACAAAAUCAAAAACCCUAU